UACCUGCAGCUCAAGUGGUGAUCGUUAUUAUUGGGCCUAAAACGUCCGUAGCCGGUCUUGUAAAUGCCUGGGUAAAUCGUAUGGCUUAACUAUAUGAAUUCCGGGUAGACUGUUAGACUUGAGACCGGGAGAAGCUAGAGGUACUCCUGGGGUAGAGGUGAAAUUCUGUAAUCCUAGGGGGACCACCAGUGGCGAAGGCGUCUAGCUAGAACGGGUUUGACGGUGAGGAACGAAGCCCUGGGGCGCAAACCGGAUUAGAUACCCGGGUAGUCCAGGGUGUAAACGCUGCUUGCUUGAUGUUAGUUGGGCUCCGAGCCCAAUUAGUGUCGGAGAGAAGUUGUUAAGCAAGCUGCCUGGGAAGUACGAUCGCAAGAUUGAAACUUAAAGGAAUUGGCGGGGGAGCACAGCAACGGGUGGAGCGUGCGGUUU
Molecule: ribosomal RNA, 429 nt
Filed under: uncultured archaeon
Lineage: Archaea
Description: bacterial SSU rRNA
Rfam family: Archaeal small subunit ribosomal RNA
Source: RNAcentral